Molecule: ribosomal RNA, 491 nt
Filed under: uncultured bacterium
Lineage: Bacteria
Description: bacterial SSU rRNA
Rfam family: Bacterial small subunit ribosomal RNA
Source: RNAcentral
CAAGUCGAGCGAGCUUGCCUAGAUGAUUUUAGUGCUUGCACUAAAUGAAACUAGAUACAAGCGAGCGGCGGACGGGUGAGUAACACGUGGGUAACCUGCCCAAGAGACUGGGAUAACACCUGGAAACAGAUGCUAAUACCGGAUAACAACACUAGACGCAUGUCUAGAGUUUGAAAGAUGGUUCUGCUAUCACUCUUGGAUGGACCUGCGGUGCAUUAGCUAGUUGGUAAGGUAACGGCUUACCAAGGCAAUGAUGCAUAGCCGAGUUGAGAGACUGAUCGGCCACAUUGGGACUGAGACACGGCCCAAACUCCUACGGGAGGCAGCAGUAGGGAAUCUUCCACAAUGGACGAAAGUCUGAUGGAGCAACGCCGCGUGAGUGAAGAAGGGUUUCGGCUCGUAAAGCUCUGUUGGUAGUGAAGAAAGAUAGAGGUAGUAACUGGCCUUUAUUUGACGGUAAUCAACCAGAAAGUCACGGCUAACUACGUGCC